Molecule: transfer RNA, 59 nt
Filed under: Escherichia coli
Lineage: Bacteria; Pseudomonadati; Pseudomonadota; Gammaproteobacteria; Enterobacterales; Enterobacteriaceae
Description: tRNA-Ser
Rfam family: tRNA
About the family: Transfer RNA (tRNA) molecules are approximately 80 nucleotides in length. Their secondary structure includes four short double-helical elements and three loops (D, anti-codon, and T loops). Further hydrogen bonds mediate the characteristic L-shaped molecular structure. tRNAs have two regions of fundamental functional importance: the anti-codon, which is responsible for specific mRNA codon recognition, and the 3' end, to which the tRNAs corresponding amino acid is attached (by aminoacyl-tRNA synthetases). tRNAs cope with the degeneracy of the genetic code in two manners: having more than one tRNA (with a specific anti-codon) for a particular amino acid; and 'wobble' base-pairing, i.e. permitting non-standard base-pairing at the 3rd anti-codon position.
Source: RNAcentral
GACAGAGCAAUUGCCUUCUAAGCAAUCGGUCACUGGUUCGAAUCCAGUACAACGCACCA